UGAACGCUGGCGGCAUGCUUACACAUGCAAGUCGGACGGCAGCACAGAGAAGCUUGCUUCUUGGGUGGCGAGUGGCGAACGGGUGAGUAAUAUAUCGGAACGUACCGAGCAGUGGGGGAUAACUAAUCGAAAGAUUAGCUAAUACCGCAUAUUUUCUGAGGAAGAAAGCAGGGGGCCAUUUGGCCUUGCGCUGUUUGAGCGGCCGAUAUCUGAUUAGCUGGUUGGUGGGGUAAAGGCCUACCAAGGCGACGAUCAGUAGCGGGUCUGAGAGGAUGAUCCGCCACACUGGGACUGAGACACGGCCCAGACUCCUACGGGAGGCAGCAGUGGGGAAUUUUGGACAAUGGGCGCAAGCCUGAUCCAGCCAUGCCGCGUGUCUGAAGAAGGCCUUCGGGUUGUAAAGGACUUUUGUCAGGGAAGAAAAGGGCGGGGUUAAUACCCCUGUCUGAUGACGGUACCUGAAGAAUAAGCACCGGCUAACUACGUGCCAGCAGCCGCGGUAAUACGUAGGGUGCGAGCGUUAAUCGGAAUUACUGGGCGUAAAGCAGGCGCAGACGGUUACUUAAGCAGGAUGUGAAAUCCCCGGGCUCAACCUGGGAACUGCGUUCUGAACUGGGUGACUAGAGUGUGUCAGAGGGAGGUAGAAUUCCACGUGUAGCAGUGAAAUGCGUAGAGAUGUGGAGGAAUACCGAUGGCGAAGGCAGCCUCCUGGGAUAACACUGACGUUCAUGCCCGAAAGCGUGGGUAGCAAACAGGAUUAGAUACCCUGGUAGUCCACGCCCUAAACGAUGUCGAUUAGCUGUUGGGCAGCAUGACUGCUUAGUAGCGAAGCUAACGCGUGAAAUCGACCGCCUGGGGUACGGUCGCAAGAUU
Molecule: ribosomal RNA, 873 nt
Filed under: uncultured Neisseria sp.
Lineage: Bacteria; Pseudomonadati; Pseudomonadota; Betaproteobacteria; Neisseriales; Neisseriaceae
Description: bacterial SSU rRNA
Rfam family: Bacterial small subunit ribosomal RNA
Source: RNAcentral